GCUGGGUGAGUAGCGAUCGCCUGUAACCCAUGCGGGAGCUGGAUCUGUGUGAAUGGUCGGUCGUGCCUAGGGCUGAUCAGAGAUCGGCCGCCCGUCCCAAGGGGCCACCAGGUCUGGGUGGGAUGAUGGAAGUCGUCGCAUCCGGACAUCUGAAGAAGCGGGUACAGGCUAAGGCUGGGAACAGAGCAGGCAAUACCGCGCGGUGGAAUCAGUGAGGAUGGAAAGUGGUCGAGAGACUGGUAGCCUGGGCAAUAACAUCGACAUGCCAAACACAAAGAUCGU
Molecule: signal recognition particle RNA, 282 nt
Filed under: Perkinsus marinus ATCC 50983
Lineage: Eukaryota; Perkinsozoa; Perkinsida; Perkinsidae
Description: Metazoan signal recognition particle RNA
Rfam family: Metazoan signal recognition particle RNA
About the family: The signal recognition particle (SRP) is a universally conserved ribonucleoprotein. It is involved in the co-translational targeting of proteins to membranes.
Source: Rfam by way of RNAcentral